This 253-nucleotide ribosomal RNA is filed under the name uncultured bacterium. Its description in RNAcentral is "partial 16S ribosomal RNA". It matches the Rfam family "Bacterial small subunit ribosomal RNA", at positions 524 to 776 of the family's 1533-position model. The record is from RNAcentral.
UACGUAAGGGGCAAGCGUUGUCCGGAUUCACUGGGCGUAAAGGGUGCGUAGGCGGUCGGGUAAGUCUGACGUGAAAUCUUCAAGCUCAACUUGGAAACUGCGUCGGAUACUAUUCGGCUAGAGGAAUGGAGGGGAGACUGGAAUACUUGGUGUAGCAGUGAAAUGCGUAGAUAUCAAGUGGAACACCAGUGGCGAAGGCGAGUCUCUGGACAUUUCCUGACGCUGAGGCACGAAAGCCAGGGGAGCAAACGGG